Molecule: long non-coding RNA, 583 nt
Organism: Macrobrachium nipponense
Lineage: Eukaryota; Metazoa; Arthropoda; Malacostraca; Decapoda; Palaemonidae
Exons: 3
Source: RefSeq, a predicted model, not a curated record
CAAAGGUAAGGCUCUUCCUUCCUUCCCAGGAGAUCUUGCAGAGAGAGAGAGAGAGAGAGAGAGAGAGAGAGAGAGAGAGAGAAAGGGCUUUUUCUUUCAUCAGAGAUAUAUAUAUCUCUUUCCGUCAAAGCCUCUCAGCUACUGGGUUGAAAGGACACCUCACACAGGAACCGGGUUCUCGUCGCUGCCAACAAAGAUGAAGUCUCUCUGCGUCAUAAUCAAGUGGGUACUGUGCCUGUGGAUUUUGGCAGCCAUGACCGUGCCCGCCGACAGUUCGCCAGUCCCUGGUCCCUCCGCCAUGGCCCAGUCCGGCAUUGGGGACGAAAGAGCCCCCUUCGCUUUCCCUUUGGCUGCGAACGCCCUCCCAUCCCAGGAACCAGUCACCAGGAACAGGACCCCGAAAAAAGUACGCAGGAGACUCAGGCCUUACUUCAUGGGCAACAAGAAACUCUACAAGAAACGCCAAGGGCGGUAGGCGCCCCUAGCGUUUCUGCAGUGAGACCCUGAAACCCUGAAUCCAUGACAAAAUGCAAUGGCUUGUGAUCUGUGAAGUUAGUUUUCUGAAAUAAAAUAUUUUUUUUUU